GGCCGACUAGCUCAGCUGGUUAGAGCGUGGUGCUAAUAUAUUCGAUUACGCCAAGGUCGUCGGUUCGAUCCCGGCGUUGGCCA
Molecule: non-coding RNA, 83 nt
Organism: Trametes meyenii
Lineage: Eukaryota; Fungi; Basidiomycota; Agaricomycetes; Polyporales; Polyporaceae
Source: the annotation of a GenBank genome assembly